GCGCCCGUAGUGUAAUGGAUAACACAAUAGUCUUCGGAACUAUUGAUUCGGGUUCGAAUCCUGACGGGCGCACCA
RNAcentral lists this transfer RNA (75 nucleotides) under Christensenellaceae bacterium. Its description in RNAcentral is "tRNA-Arg". It matches the Rfam family "tRNA". From Rfam's summary of the family: Transfer RNA (tRNA) molecules are approximately 80 nucleotides in length. Their secondary structure includes four short double-helical elements and three loops (D, anti-codon, and T loops). Lineage: Bacteria; Bacillati; Bacillota; Clostridia; Christensenellales; Christensenellaceae. The record is from RNAcentral.